GCUGAUCCCCGCUGAGUAUGUUUGCUAUCAACGCAACCCGGUGUGUAGAGUACUGUAUUUGUUAGUAGCUGCAGUAUGAUUAAAAAAUGCAUUGUGCUUUAGACUAAUGGUGAAUAAGCAAAAAUGCUUGUCAAUUCGGAUGUAAUAUUGGUAUAUUUACCGUAAAUGGCGUAUUUGUGUUUUUUUUUUCUCCAACACAAUGUCUGGAGUCCCAGUGUUGGAUACGCUCUUCCUACUUAUGUCCUUGAGCGAGACACUGAGCCUUCACUUCCAGUGUGUUUUCCUGCUCCCUCAGGUCACACAAGGAAGCAGGGACAGAGAAUGUGGGCAUAUGAGAGAAGGAAAGGAAAUGAAGGAGAACACACGAGGAAACCGACACAAAGCCACAGUGAGAAGUAGGGAGACGAUGGGGAGGUGCCACGUCAUGCCUGAAGCUCCAGAGCAUUCACAGUCUCGCUCAAGGAUGCUUCAACCAGGACCUACGCCCGCUGUCAAGUGGCUUGAACCCAGGUCUUCCAGACGAAGGUCGCUCCACUUAAUCACUGCCUCUGCAGAAUGGGAGCGUCAUGAUAUAUGUAACCAGACCACUGACAGGAUCUCUGUGUCCUUGCUCCGUCAGAGUGGGAUAAGGAUUGAUGUGCUGCGAUUUAAUGUGCGGUCCUAUUAAAAUGUUAA
Betta splendens (Siamese fighting fish) is the source of this 675-nucleotide long non-coding RNA. Lineage: Eukaryota; Metazoa; Chordata; Actinopteri; Anabantiformes; Osphronemidae. The record is from Ensembl.